AAGGUGCCACAGCAACCCCCAAAUCUUGGGAGAGGGUCUUUGGGGGCUUUGGACUUUGAUCACACUGAAACUCCAAGUGAACGUGACUUUUCUACAGUCACUACUCAUUUUUCCUGUUCAUCUCCCACUUGAUUAUGGGCAACUUAAUUUAUCUUAGUGCCGCAGUGGACACUGGCAAGUAGUAGACAGUCAAUGAAUACGGACAGAAGAAAGGAAGGGAGGAUGGGAAGGAAAGGAGAGAGGGAAGGGAUAGAGGGAGAGAGGAGCUUAGCGUGUUGAAAGCAUGUGUACAGAAACAAAUGAAACAAAAAUCAAAUGAACAGCAGGACCCGGCUCAAGAGACAGCCGAAAUGCCAGAAAAUUGUGUGGAAUCUCUGAAGAAUGCAAUGGGCUCAGCUCAAUGGUGAAGAGGUCUCCUAUGUCCCUUGUGGCCAAGACAAACCAGGCAAACCUGAGGCUGGACACACAGAACAGAUAUUUUUCUCCUCUUUUUCUUGCAUCUCCAAAAUUUCUAACUUCCUCUUGUAUGAAGGCACCUAGACUUAGUGAGUUUCCCUUUGUGACUUGGAAGUUGUGGGAAGGGAGAAUCAGUCAGGAAAUGAGGUGUCAGUAGGCUCUUUAGCAAACUCAGCCAGUAGAUGGCUAAAAAAGGACUUGGUUACUUUGGGUCCAUUUUGUCUAUCCAUGGGAUACGACCAUGAGCGCGGGGAAGAGCUCUCUACCUGAGCAUGUGGACUGAAAAGAGUAGAACCUUGGGGGAUCCUGAAGGAAGAGGGGAAACCAGGAAAACAGAGGAAGUUAACUUAGGAGGGGUAAGGGAAGAAGAAUGCAAGAUUGACGUUGCAGAAGCCAGAGGCCAGGGCUAAGAACAGGGUAAGGGACUUUUGAGAAAGGAGUAGCAGAGCAUUCACAUUAGAUAAGUUCUGAAAGGUGUCCACUGAGCCUGGGUUUGUUAUCUAGAAGGUGACCUACUGUAAACUUUGCCAGAGCAUUUUCAGUGGUGAAGAAGUGAGACCUUUGGCUCCCAGUGAAGGGAGCAAGCCCAGUUAGGUUUCUUUAACAAGCUUGGCCAGGAAGAUGGAGCAGUUGCUAGAGACGAUGGAAGGUCAAGGGAGACCUUUGCUUCCUCCACAACUGUGGCAGGCUCUGGGGCACCUUCAUAAGCUGCACAAAGAGAGCCUGAUGAGAGAGGGUGAGAACGCAGAAGGGAAAGGAAACACUGGGCAGAAAACAGGGUCUUGGGCCAAGAAAAGGGGAGAGGGGGACAUUUGCAGAGCAUCGGUAGUGGGAUUGCCUUGAACUUGAGUUUGAGUGUAAACAAAGUUCACCAAAGGGGAUGGGGAGGAGACAGACACAGAAUUAGACCCAUUCAUAGGCUUAGGGGACCUUGCAUGGCCCUUUUGAGGGCUUCGUUUUCCUCAGUGAGGUGGAAGGCAAAGCCAACUUCCUGAGGCAUGAAGUGGGGAUGGGAUGGGGAUUUGGUAAGACUGGUAACUGUUUGGAAUAGCUGUGGUGGGAUAUGGGUGAGGGUUAUUACGGGAUGCUGUGAUCCCGGGAGAGGCUGGAGGCCCUGUGUAUGACUUUCUCAAGCAGUGUUCAGCAGCGCAGGUGUAGGAGCAUUGGAGAGGGAGAAGGUUUGGACCUGUCCAAGAUCGGUAAUAGCGCUGGUGGGCCUGAAAUAGAAGGGGCCAGGUAAUUGAGGAUCUCACCAAGAAUGGAAAAGGGUCUCACUCUGGGUCCUUCUGAAAUAAAAAGGGAAGCCACAAAAAGGGAGAUUGGCUGGGAAGUAUGGAGGGAAGUAUAGGAUCAAUGAGCCUGAAGACCUGUUGUAAGGUGAGGAAAGAAAUAAGAGUUGGACGGUUAAUGAGAGGUAGCCAGGUCUUGGAAUCUGACAUUUCCAAGACAGUGCUAUGAUAGGGAGUGGCAAGGUCUACACAGAGAGUAUGGCUGUUGGAGGAAUAGAGUUGUGAAUUUUUCGGCAGACCUUUAUUGGGCUUGCUUAUUGUUCAAUUCAGUACUGUAACUACAGUUCUCUAAAUCUUGAUGGAGUAAUCUACAUCCCCAAGAAAUUAUGAUAAUGAAGGUUAGGGCACUCAAAACUAUUUUUCUUCCCUAGCAUUUAGGGAUUCUGAGUAUGAGUCUCUGUCUUUCUCUCUUCCUUUCCUUUUAUGAUACUGAAUAAUUACAAGAAGACAGUUACAGAAAGUUAUAGACCUUGAACAUAUGCAAGUACUUCCCUCUACCUUCAUUAUUAGAUUCUUGCCCAGCUAGGCAGGUCCAAGAUUUUGUUUCUGGCUAUGCUAAUUUUGGACAAUAAAAAGAAUAUCCUAUAAGCAAAAGCACCAUCUUUCA
Long non-coding RNA from Homo sapiens (human), 2352 nucleotides. NCBI's taxonomy places the organism in Eukaryota, Metazoa, Chordata, Mammalia, Primates, Hominidae. The record is from Ensembl.